RNAcentral lists this ribosomal RNA (461 nucleotides) under Cupriavidus necator. RNAcentral describes it as "bacterial SSU rRNA". It matches the Rfam family "Bacterial small subunit ribosomal RNA", at positions 173 to 629 of the family's 1533-position model. Lineage: Bacteria; Pseudomonadati; Pseudomonadota; Betaproteobacteria; Burkholderiales; Burkholderiaceae. The record is from RNAcentral.
AUACGACCUGAGGGUGAAAGCGGGGGACCGCAAGGCCUCGCGCUACAGGAGCGGCCGAUGUCUGAUUAGCUAGUUGGUGGGGUAAGAGCCUACCAAGGCGACGAUCAGUAGCUGGUCUGAGAGGACGAUCAGCCACACUGGGACUGAGACACGGCCCAGACUCCUACGGGAGGCAGCAGUGGGGAAUUUUGGACAAUGGGGGCAACCCUGAUCCAGCAAUGCCGCGUGUGUGAAGAAGGCCUUCGGGUUGUAAAGCACUUUUGUCCGGAAAGAAAUCGCUUCGGUUAAUACCUGGGGUGGAUGACGGUACCGGAAGAAUAAGCACCGGCUAACUACGUGCCAGCAGCCGCGGUAAUACGUAGGGUGCGAGCGUUAAUCGGAAUUACUGGGCGUAAAGCGUGCGCAGGCGGUUUGAUAANACAGGCGUGAAAUCCCCGAGCUCAACUUGGGAAUGGCGCUUG